GAUGAAGAACGUAGCGAAAUGCGAUAAGUAGUGUGAAUUGCAGAAUUCAGUGAAUCAUCGAAUCUUUGAACGCACAUUGCGCCCCUUGGUAUUCCAUGGGGCAUGCCUGUUCGAGCGUCAUUUGUACCUUCAAGCUCUGCUUGGUGUUGGGUGUUUGUCUCGCCUCUGCGUGUAGACUCGCCUCAAAACAAUUGGCAGCCGGCGUAUUGAUUUCGGAGCGCAGUACAUCUCGCGCUUUGCACUCAUAACGACGACGUCCAAAGUACAUUUUUACACUCUUGACCUCGGAUCAGGUAGGGAUACCCGCUGAACUUAAGCAUAUCAAUAAGCGGAGGA
Molecule: unclassified non-coding RNA, 336 nt
Filed under: soil metagenome
Description: partial contains 5.8S ribosomal RNA, internal transcribed spacer 2, and large subunit ribosomal RNA
Rfam family: 5.8S ribosomal RNA (bases 1-120)
Source: RNAcentral